RNAcentral lists this non-coding RNA (48 nucleotides) under Schistosoma mattheei. The record is from RNAcentral. Lineage: Eukaryota; Metazoa; Platyhelminthes; Trematoda; Strigeidida; Schistosomatidae.
AUCCAACUGACGAGUCCCAAAUAGGACGAGACUCGCAUCAAACUGGAU